Molecule: ribosomal RNA, 409 nt
Filed under: uncultured bacterium
Lineage: Bacteria
Description: bacterial SSU rRNA
Rfam family: Bacterial small subunit ribosomal RNA
Source: RNAcentral
AACGAACGCUGGCGGCAUGCCUAACACAUGCAAGUUGAACGAGACCUUCGGGUCUAGUGGCGCACGGGUGCGUAACGCGUGGGAAUCUGCCCCUUGGUUCGGAAUAACUUCGGGAAACUGAAGCUAAUACCGGAUAAUGACGUAAGUCCAAAGAUUUAUCGCCAAGGGAUGAGCCCGCGUAGGAUUAGCUAGUUGGUGAGGUAAUGGCUCACCAAGGCGACGAUCGUUAGCUGGUCUGAGAGGACGAUCAGCCACACUGGGACUGAGACACGGCCCAGACUCCUACGGGAGGCAGCAGUGGGGAAUAUUGGACAAUGGGGGGCAACCCUGAUCCAGCCAUGCCGCGUGAGUGAUGAAGGCCUUCGGGUUGUAAAGCUCUUUUGGUCGGGGACGGAUGAUGACGGUACCG